This 479-nucleotide ribosomal RNA is filed under the name uncultured bacterium. RNAcentral describes it as "bacterial SSU rRNA". It matches the Rfam family "Archaeal small subunit ribosomal RNA", at positions 745 to 1224 of the family's 1478-position model. The record is from RNAcentral.
UCCAGGGUGUAAACGCUGCUCGCUUGAUGUUAGUCGGGCUCCGAGCCCAACUAGUGUCGGAGAGAAGUUGUUAAGCGAGCUGCCUGGGAAGUACGGUCGCAAGGCUGAAACUUAAAGGAAUUGGCGGGGGAGCACAGCAACGGGUGGAGCGUGCGGUUUAAUUGGAUUCAACGCCGGAAAUCUCACCGGAGGCGACGGUUAUAUGAAGGCCAGGCUGAUGACCUUGCCUGAUUUUCCGAGAAGUGGUGCAUGGCCGUCGUCAGUUCGUACCGUGAGGCGUUCUGUUAAGUCAGACAACGAACGAGACCCUCAUCUUUAGUUGCUACUGGUAAGUCCGCUUACUAGGCACACUAAAGAAACCGCUGGCGAUAAGUCAGAGGAAGGUGAGGGCAACGGUAGGUCAGUAUGCCCCGAAUCCUCCGGGCUACACGCGCGCUACAAAGGCUAGGACAAUGGGUUUCAACACCGAAAGGUGACGG